RNAcentral lists this ribosomal RNA (1369 nucleotides) under uncultured bacterium. Its description in RNAcentral is "bacterial SSU rRNA". It matches the Rfam family "Bacterial small subunit ribosomal RNA", at positions 28 to 1381 of the family's 1533-position model. The record is from RNAcentral.
GACGAACGCUGGCGGCGUGCCUAAUACAUGCAAGUAGAACGCUGAAGAGAGGAGCUUGCUCUUCUUGGAUGAGUUGCGAACGGGUGAGUAACGCGUAGGUAACCUGCCUUGUAGCGGGGGAUAACUAUUGGAAACGAUAGCUAAUACCGCAUAACAAUGGAUGACACAUGUCAUUUAUUUGAAAGGGGCAAUUGCUCCACUACAAGAUGGACCUGCGUUGUAUUAGCUAGUAGGUGAGGUAAUGGCUCACCUAGGCGACGAUACAUAGCCGACCUGAGAGGGUGAUCGGCCACACUGGGACUGAGACACGGCCCAGACUCCUACGGGAGGCAGCAGUAGGGAAUCUUCGGCAAUGGGGGCAACCCUGACCGAGCAACGCCGCGUGAGUGAAGAAGGUUUUCGGAUCGUAAAGCUCUGUUGUAAGUCAAGAACGGGUGUGAGAGUGGAAAGUUCACACUGUGACGGUAGCUUACCAGAAAGGGGCGGCUAACUACGUGCCAGCAGCCGCGGUAAUACGUAGGUCCCGAGCGUUGUCCGGAUUUAUUGGGCGUAAAGCGAGCGCAGGCGGUUUGAUAAGUCUGAAGUUAAAGGCUGUGGCUCAACCAUAGUUCGCUUUGGAAACUGUCAAACUUGAGUGCAGAAGGGGAGAGUGGAAUUCCAUGUGUAGCGGUGAAAUGCGUAGAUAUAUGGAGGAACACCGGUGGCGAAAGCGGCUCUCUGGUCUGUAACUGACGCUGAGGCUCGAAAGCGUGGGGAGCGAACAGGAUUAGAUACCCUGGUAGUCCACGCCGUAAACGAUGAGUGCUAGGUGUUGGAUCCUUUCCGGGAUUCAGUGCCGCAGCUAACGCAUUAAGCACUCCGCCUGGGGAGUACGACCGCAAGGUUGAAACUCAAAGGAAUUGACGGGGGCCCGCACAAGCGGUGGAGCAUGUGGUUUAAUUCGAAGCAACGCGAAGAACCUUACCAGGUCUUGACAUCCCGAUGCUAUUUCUAGAGAUAGAAAGUUACUUCGGUACAUCGGUGACAGGUGGUGCAUGGUUGUCGUCAGCUCGUGUCGUGAGAUGUUGGGUUAAGUCCCGCAACGAGCGCAACCCCUAUUGUUAGUUGCCAUCAUUCAGUUGGGCACUCUAGCGAGACUGCCGGUAAUAAACCGGAGGAAGGUGGGGAUGACGUCAAAUCAUCAUGCCCCUUAUGACCUGGGCUACACACGUGCUACAAUGGUUGGUACAACGAGUUGCGAGUCGGUGACGGCGAGCUAAUCUCUUAAAGCCAAUCUCAGUUCGGAUUGUAGGCUGCAACUCGCCUACAUGAAGUCGGAAUCGCUAGUAAUCGCGGAUCAGCACGCCGCGGUGAAUACGUUCCCGGGCCU